Molecule: non-coding RNA, 27 nt
Filed under: Bombyx mori (domestic silkworm)
Lineage: Eukaryota; Metazoa; Arthropoda; Insecta; Lepidoptera; Bombycidae
Source: RNAcentral
CGCGUUGCUAUUCGCACAGCCAAGGAU